CGACUUGGAGGUUGUUCCCUUGAGGAGUGGCUUCCGGAGCUAACGCGUUAAGUCGACCGCCUGGGGAGUACGGCCGCAAGGUUAAAACUCAAAUGAAUUGACGGGGGCCCGCACAAGCGGUGGAGCAUGUGGUUUAAUUCGAUGCAACGCGAAGAACCUUACCUACUCUUGACAUCCAGAGAACUUAGCAGAGAUGCUUUGGUGCCUUCGGGAACUCUGAGACAGGUGCUGCAUGGCUGUCGUCAGCUCGUGUUGUGAAAUGUUGGGUUAAGUCCCGCAACGAGCGCAACCCUUAUCCUUUGUUGCCAGCGAUUCGGUCGGGAACUCAAAGGAGACUGCCGGUGAUAAACCGGAGGAAGGUGGGGAUGACGUCAAGUCAUCAUGGCCCUUACGAGUAGGGCUACACACGUGCUACAAUGGCGCAUACAAAGAGAAGCGACCUCGCGAGAGCAAGCGGACCUCAUAAAGUGCGUCGUAGUCCGGAUCGGAGUCUGGAACUCGACUCCGUGAAGUCGGAAUCGCUAGUAAUCGUGGAUCAGAAUGCCACGGUGAAUACGUUCCCGGGCCUUGUACACACCGCCCGUCACACCAUGGGAGUGGGUUGCAAAAGAAGUAGGUAGCUUAACCUUCGGGAGGGCGCUUACCACUUUGUGAUUCAUGACUGGGGUGAAGUCGUAACAAGGUACC
Molecule: ribosomal RNA, 687 nt
Filed under: uncultured bacterium
Lineage: Bacteria
Description: bacterial SSU rRNA
Rfam family: Bacterial small subunit ribosomal RNA
Source: RNAcentral